Molecule: ribosomal RNA, 426 nt
Filed under: uncultured bacterium
Lineage: Bacteria
Description: partial 16S ribosomal RNA
Rfam family: Bacterial small subunit ribosomal RNA
Source: RNAcentral
GUGUGGAAUUUUCCGCAAUGGGCGAAAGCCUGACGGAGCAAUGCCGCGGGAAGGAUGAAGGCCUAUGGGUUGUAAACUUCUUUUCUCAGAAAAGAAUUAUGACGGUAUCUGAGGAAUAAGCAUCGGCUAACUCUGUGCCAGCAGCCGCGGUAAGACAGAGGAUGCAAGCGUUAUCCGGAAUGAUUGGGCGUAAAGCGUCUGUAGGUUGUUUAAAAAGUAUUCUGUCAAAGAUUAGGGCUUAACCCUAGAUAGGCAGAAUAAACUUUUAAGCUAGCAUUAGGUAGAGGCAGAGGGAAUUCCCGGUGGAGCGGUGAAAUGCGUAGAUAUCGGGAGCAACACCAAAGGCGAAGGCACUCUGCUGGGCCAAUACUAACACUGAGAGACGAAAGCGAGGGGAGCAAAUGGGAUUAGAUACCCGAGUAGUCC